RNAcentral lists this non-coding RNA (308 nucleotides) under uncultured Phytobacter sp. Its description in RNAcentral is "MicL sRNA". It matches the Rfam family "MicL sRNA". Rfam says of the family: mRNA-interfering complementary RNA regulator of Lpp. Transcription factor sigma E dependant sRNA. Lineage: Bacteria; Pseudomonadati; Pseudomonadota; Gammaproteobacteria; Enterobacterales; Enterobacteriaceae. The record is from RNAcentral.
UAUGGCGGGUGCAGGCGUUCGAGCGAGCAAUCUGGAUAGCUUUCUCAGUGCCGGUAUCCCGGAAGUGCAUAGUUCAGCGGGGCAGCUUAUAGCGUCCCCCAUGCGAUAUCGCAAUACCGGCUUAUCGAUGUCGGCAGACUCCACAGCGGAUGAAUACUCCCGCUACCGUGUGGAUGGCGAUGCCGUCGCGGUGAUGAAAGCGCACAUUGUUCAUCACGCACAGUAAACCGAUUUUACCGCAGCAUCAUGUCGCCCAAUAUGAUGCUUAUUUGUACCAGGCCCCUGCAAUUUCAACAGGGGUCUUUUUU